GCCUUAUCUUUAAUUUUCUCUCUCCUUAUUUCCCUCCAAACAAAAGCAAACAUCACAAAAUUAAUUGCAAUUCACUGAGCUAACCAUACCUGAAAUUCAAUGGGUAGCAAAUUAGCCUUCUCUUUAACAAUCCCUCGUGUCUACUCUGCUCCCAUUCAAAAACCGUUCACUUCUUCUUCAAGACUUCACUCUGUUCAGCCCCAUGGAAGGAAUCUUUGUGUUCGCCGCAGAUUUCUUUUGCUGCCCAUCAAAGCCACCGCUGACCAACCAGGUAAGGUUGGAGAAGAUGAGGUUGUUGACAGUAAGAUUCUGCAGUAUUGUAGCAUAGACAAGAAAGAUAAAAAAUCAAUUGGUGAAAUGGAGCAGGAUUUUCUCCAAGCUCUGCAAUCAUUUUACUAUGAGGGAAAAGCUACAAUGUCAAAUGAAGAAUUUGAUAAUCUAAAGGAAGAAUUAAUGUGGGAAGGAAGCAGUGUUGUUAUGCUAAGUUCUGAUGAACAGAAGUUUUUGGAAGCCUCAAUGGCUUAUGUAUCUGGAAAUCCGAUCCUGAAUGAUAAAGAAUUUGAUGAAUUGAAGCUAAGGUUAAAGCAAGAAGGCAGCGAUAUUGUAGUUGAGGGUCCGCGUUGCAGUCUGCGUAGUAGAAAGGUUUACAGUGACCUAUCUGUUGACUAUUUAAAGAUGUUCCUGCUGAAUGUUCCUGCAGCUGUUGUUGCAUUAGGCUUGUUUUUCUUCUUGGAUGAUGUAACAGGAUUUGAGAUUACAUAUCUUUUGGAGCUUCCGGAGCCAUUCAGCUUUAUCUUCACAUGGUUUGCUGCAGUGCCCGUCAUAGUUUUUUUAUCCCUGUCAUUCACAAAUGCAAUAGUGAAAGACUUCAAGAUCUUGAAGGGUGCUUGUCCCAACUGUGGUACUGAGAACCAGUCCUUCUUCGGAACCAUAUUGUCGAUCUCGAGUGGCGGUACAACCAACAAUGUAAAAUGCUCAAAUUGUGGAACUGAAAUGGUGUAUGAUUCAAAGACACGAUUGAUUACACUACCAGAAGGAAGUAAUGCUUGAUUAGAGGUGCAUACAUUGUCUAUAUUAGAGUCCAUCUUCUCAGACACCCGAGUGGGAUCAGACAACAUAUGGAAUGCAGAUAAUAAUGCUACUAACAAUUAAAGUUGGAAGCGAGGAAAUUUAACCUUAUGUUCCAAUGUGGCUGAUCAAAUGUUGAGAGGAAAUUUUCAGUUGUGUACUCUGUAAUGAUCUAUAUUUUUGUGUUAAUAUUGUAACAAUAUGUAAAUGCUUCAUACAUGGUCCUAGUAAAAGCUUAUUCACAAAAGAACAACAGCAUAAAUGUAAUCAUGUACAGUUUAGCCA
Mercurialis annua (annual mercury) is the source of this 1353-nucleotide RNA transcript. It is a transcript of the gene named PGR5-like protein 1A, chloroplastic, with no coding region annotated. The transcript is spliced from 11 exons. Lineage: Eukaryota; Viridiplantae; Streptophyta; Magnoliopsida; Malpighiales; Euphorbiaceae. The record is from RefSeq and is a predicted model, not a curated record.